RNAcentral lists this ribosomal RNA (1226 nucleotides) under Salmonella enterica. Its description in RNAcentral is "bacterial LSU rRNA". It matches the Rfam family "Bacterial large subunit ribosomal RNA", at positions 1081 to 2290 of the family's 2925-position model. Lineage: Bacteria; Pseudomonadati; Pseudomonadota; Gammaproteobacteria; Enterobacterales; Enterobacteriaceae. The record is from RNAcentral.
AGGCCCAGACAGCCAGGAUGUUGGCUUAGAAGCAGCCAUCAUUUAAAGAAAGCGUAAUAGCUCACUGGUCGAGUCGGCCUGCGCGGAAGAUGUAACGGGGCUAAACCAUGCACCGAAGCUGCGGCAGCGACACUGUGUGUUGUUGGGUAGGGGAGCGUUCUGUAAGCCUGUGAAGGUGUGUCGUGAGGCAUGCUGGAGGUAUCAGAAGUGCGAAUGCUGACAUAAGUAACGAUAAAGCGGGUGAAAAGCCCGCUCGCCGGAAGACCAAGGGUUCCUGUCCAACGUUAAUCGGGGCAGGGUGAGUCGACCCCUAAGGCGAGGCCGAAAGGCGUAGUCGAUGGGAAACGGGUUAAUAUUCCCGUACUUGGUGUUACUGCGAAGGGGGGACGGAGAAGGCUAUGUUGGCCGGGCGACGGUUGUCCCGGUUUAAGCGUGUAGGUGUGUGUUCCAGGUAAAUCCGGUUCACUUUAACACUGAGGCGUGACGACGAGGCACUACGGUGCUGAAGCAACAAAUGCCCUGCUUCCAGGAAAAGCCUCUAAGCAUCAGGUAACAUCAAAUCGUACCCCAAACCGACACAGGUGGUCAGGUAGAGAAUACCAAGGCGCUUGAGAGAACUCGGGUGAAGGAACUAGGCAAAAUGGUGCCGUAACUUCGGGAGAAGGCACGCUGACACGUAGGUGAAGUGAUUUACUCAUGGAGCUGAAGUCAGUCGAAGAUACCAGCUGGCUGCAACUGUUUAUUAAAAACACAGCACUGUGCAAACACGAAAGUGGACGUAUACGGUGUGACGCCUGCCCGGUGCCGGAAGGUUAAUUGAUGGGGUCAGCGCAAGCGAAGCUCCUGAUCGAAGCCCCGGUAAACGGCGGCCGUAACUAUAACGGUCCUAAGGUAGCGAAAUUCCUUGUCGGGUAAGUUCCGACCUGCACGAAUGGCGUAAUGAUGGCCAGGCUGUCUCCACCCGAGACUCAGUGAAAUUGAACUCGCUGUGAAGAUGCAGUGUACCCGCGGCAAGACGGAAAGACCCCGUGAACCUUUACUAUAGCUUGACACUGAACAUUGAGCCUUGAUGUGUAGGAUAGGUGGGAGGCUUUGAAGUGUGGACGCCAGUCUGCAUGGAGCCGACCUUGAAAUACCACCCUUUAAUGUUUGAUGUUCUAACGUGGACCCGUUACCCGGGUUGCGGACAGUGUCUGGUGGGUAGUUUGACUGGGGCGGUCUCCUCC